Molecule: long non-coding RNA, 317 nt
Organism: Brassica oleracea var. oleracea
Lineage: Eukaryota; Viridiplantae; Streptophyta; Magnoliopsida; Brassicales; Brassicaceae
Exons: 2
Source: RefSeq, a predicted model, not a curated record
AGCUAUUAAUUGAAAAAACUAUCUUAAUUAAGCGAUAGAAGGUAUGUCUCUUGACACACUUGUUACAGUUUUAUUGAGCAGAGGAAUUUGAGAGAUUGUAUCUCUCUCCCGACGGCUCUCUCUCGACGGCUCAGCCUAGAAUCCUUUAUUCUUCUUCUUCGUUACCGAGCACCACUCAGUCUUCUUCUUCUCUCUAUCCGCUCGCUCAUCCAGGUUAGUCGUCCUUGUCAUCAUCUUCAUCGUAGCUGAACGGUAAUGGAACUGACUUGAAAGCUCGGUACUUCCCCACAUUAUUCAAAUGCUCAUUCUCUAGCCUG